AUUCCUAUCGAACAAUGGUUAGUUCGCUGGACUUUCACUCCAGAAAUCUCGGUUCAAAUCCGUGUAGGAAUA
This 72-nucleotide transfer RNA is filed under the name Acinetobacter phage AM24. It matches the Rfam family "tRNA". From Rfam's summary of the family: Transfer RNA (tRNA) molecules are approximately 80 nucleotides in length. Their secondary structure includes four short double-helical elements and three loops (D, anti-codon, and T loops). Further hydrogen bonds mediate the characteristic L-shaped molecular structure. tRNAs have two regions of fundamental functional importance: the anti-codon, which is responsible for specific mRNA codon recognition, and the 3' end, to which the tRNAs corresponding amino acid is attached (by aminoacyl-tRNA synthetases). tRNAs cope with the degeneracy of the genetic code in two manners: having more than one tRNA (with a specific anti-codon) for a particular amino acid; and 'wobble' base-pairing, i.e. permitting non-standard base-pairing at the 3rd anti-codon position. Lineage: Duplodnaviria; Heunggongvirae; Uroviricota; Caudoviricetes. The record is from Rfam by way of RNAcentral.